GACGAACGCUGGCGGCGUGCUUAACACAUGCAAGUCGAACGGAAAGGCCCUGCUUUUGUGGGGUGCUCGAGUGGCGAACGGGUGAGUAACACGUGAGUAACCUGCCCUUGACUUUGGGAUAACUUCAGGAAACUGGGGCUAAUACCGGAUAGGAGCUCCUGCUGCAUGGUGGGGGUUGGAAAGUUUCGGCGGUUGGGGAUGGACUCGCGGCUUAUCAGCUUGUUGGUGGGGUAGUGGCUUACCAAGGCUUUGACGGGUAGCCGGCCUGGGAGGGUGACCGGCCAAAUUGGGACUGAGAUACGGCCCAGACUCCUACGGGAGGCAGCAGUGGGGAAUAUUGCACAAUGGGCGGAAGCCUGAUGAAGCAACGCCGCGUGCGGGAUGACGGCCUUCGGGUUGUAAACCGUUUUCGCCUGUGACGAAGCGUGAGUGACGGUAAUGGGUAAAGAAGCACCGGCUAGCUACGUG
Molecule: ribosomal RNA, 468 nt
Filed under: uncultured bacterium
Lineage: Bacteria
Description: partial 16S ribosomal RNA
Rfam family: Bacterial small subunit ribosomal RNA
Source: RNAcentral